CGUGUGACAAUGUCAGACAUUUCCAUGCUGUUUGGGAUUCAUGAGUAAUGAAGCCUUGGAAUGAGCCCACAACUUAUGCUCCAGAUGCUUCCCUUUGCUUCCUGUUUCUCCAUCAGUCAGGACUGCAUUUGAUUGCAGGAAGAAGAGAAAUGAGUUACAAGGGAAUUUGAGUUUAUCGGUCUUUGGACACCAGAGUCUGUGGAGGCUGCUGCUCCAGACUUCUAUUGUUGUGGCAUUUGCAGAUAUGAACAAAGCGUCAACCGAGAAUGAGUAAGAAGUGGUCCAGACCGAGCUGAAAAGGGCCAGUUUAAGGCCCAGGAAUCUGGCUGUCCCAUUGGCUAAGGUCUUUUCUAGAAGUUCUCUAUCCAAAGUAAUCCUUGGAGGGCUUCCCAUUGGUUCCUAGUAGCUGUCAUCACUGCUGCUCCUCUUCAUCCCA
This is a long non-coding RNA of Hyaena hyaena (striped hyena), 436 nucleotides long. RefSeq lists it as uncharacterized. NCBI's taxonomy places the organism in Eukaryota, Metazoa, Chordata, Mammalia, Carnivora, Hyaenidae. The transcript has 4 exons. The record is from RefSeq and is a predicted model, not a curated record.